GGCCGCAGCGUGUCCGCGGAGCUCCCGAGGGAUCGUGCGCGUCGCCGCCGCGGCCCACGGAAGCGGGGCCGUGCGCUCCCGCCCGCGGGUAGUCGUGGCCGAGCGGUUAAGGCGACGGGCUAGAAAUCCGUUGGGGUGUCCCCGCGCAGGCAACCGGAUCGGAUGCAAAAGAAGCGAGCUGCAUGCGUCACGAUGAGUAGUACAGAAGGAGAACGGUAACCCGACAGCGGGGACGAUGGGGACAGGCAGCAUCCUGUGCCGCCCAGAGACCUACUUCGGUGGACUCGACCUCAUCUGCGUGGUGCUCGGCUAAAAGCGCACAACCUGAAUUUAACUUUCGGGAAAGCAUCAAACUCAAGGGUGAGGAGGCGUUCUACAAAAUACCUGCCCAAGUUAGGCUUUGAAGGUCAAUGAGAUGAAACACAAAGAUGGGGGCGCUCUUCCAGACGAAAGGACUAAGGAGGCAGGACAAAUGAAUGUCAUCUGUUUUUCUUGAAAUAAAGGAUUCGCACAAUUGGCAAAACAGUAACAAGGUCUCUAGAUCAAAUAAGAGUGUUAAUCCAGAUUUCAUAACUGUUCUGUGCUUAGGAAAGAGAACGUCCCUGGUUUUAGGAAAUACACACUGAAGUAUUUAGUGGUAAGGGGACAUCUUGUCUGAAGCACACUAGAAAAAAAUUAUGUAUGUGUAAACAUUUCUAUAUAUCUAGCUAUUAAAAAACACAUAUCAUAAAUUAA
Herpailurus yagouaroundi (jaguarundi) is the source of this 735-nucleotide long non-coding RNA. RefSeq lists it as uncharacterized. The record is from RefSeq and is a predicted model, not a curated record. NCBI's taxonomy places the organism in Eukaryota, Metazoa, Chordata, Mammalia, Carnivora, Felidae. The transcript is spliced from 2 exons.